CUUCCUUAUCGAACUCGACUGGGCUGAGAAAUAAAUUAAUAACAACAAACAAAUAAACAAAAACUAGCCGAUGUUUCAAUACAACAGUGAAGUAGUCGGUAAGACUUACAAGGUAACUCCCAAGGAUCCAAGCUAUAGAUAUCGACUGUGUUAAUGAAUUCAUUGACAUGAGUCGUGUUGCCAUCCAUAUUUUUUGCCCUGAGGUAAUAGCCAAUGAUCUCCUCGUCGGUCGGAUGGAAUCUGAAACCCACCGGAUGCGAAUUUACCAUAUUCUCCAUGAGAAAUCUAAAAUUUUCAGAUCAAAAACGAAAAAGAAGAACUAAGAAAAAAAAAUAUGCAGCAGAGCAGAGCGCUUCUUUCUAUGUUGUCGCUUGCUGUUCUGUUAAUUAAUCUUCUCUUGUUUGUUAUUAUGAACAAGACGAAAGGUGUGGGGUUAUAUAAAAAAACUUGUCCCGGUAUUUGCGGGGACACAAUUUCAAAUAUUAUUUUGUGUCACGGCAUGGAAACACAUAACCGUGACGUAUUGUGACGUUUAUCUUUCGUGGGACAUACGUGGAACGGUAGAUACUUAUCGUGUUCAUGACCUUUUCCUUUAAAUAAUAAAAUAAGAGGGUGUUGAUAUAAAAAAAACCUUGACCCGGUAUUUGGGGGAACUCUAAAUUUCAAAAAUUACUUAUUGUGACGUUUUAUCCUUCGUGGGACAUACGUGGAACGAUAGAGUUUGCCAUGUUCAUGAACUUUUCCUUUAAAUAAUAAAAUAAAAACCAGUGCUUGUGAUAUGGUGUUGAUUAAUUUGAAGAGAAAAACUCAAGAAGGUGAAACCACUAGAAUUCGAGUCCUAGCCACUAGAGAAUUAAUAUUUCGGUAUCGCUAGAAACAGAGAACCGACACGUGACAACACAUAACUAGUCUAUACCAUUUAUGUGAGGCCAAGAAUAUUCCUAUAUAAUUCAAAAAAUAAUAAUAAAUAAAUAAUAAAAUAAAAAGGGCAAAAGCGGAAUUUGCAAGUUGUCAUCGACGGUCAAUAACCAUGUUUAGGUCAUCUCUAAUCGAACUGUAAAAUACCAUUUUAGUGUAGUUUUUACACUAAAAUCAUCUCUAAUCUAACUGCAAAAAUCACAUAAUUUCAUAUCAAAUUAAAAAGUGUAACACUAUUUAUCACGCUACAACACUAUUUAUUCCAUUAAAAUAUUAUUCAUUUAUUUUAUUACUAAAAUAUACAAAUCCUCCAGUAUAUUAAUUGAGAAGUCACUUUAGUGAAUUAUGCUGACGUGUCACUCAUACAAGAAGUCUCGCAAUAAUCCUUAUAAUCUAUACUAUUAAAGCAGAAUCCUUCUUAGGAUUAUGCCCCUGAAUUUUCCAAUUAAUUACAAAAUUUUCCAUUAACUUUUUCAGUGACUUUUCCAAUAAUAAACCUAAUUUUGUCGGUCAAAACAAUAAACUAGAUUUGUAAGGGCAUUGGGCUUGAGCCUAUUUAGGUAAAAUAAGAUAUAUGUUUGCUUUGCUUUCUGGUUGAAUUGGUUUUUGCGAUCCAACUUAAUCAUUUUUGCAUGUGAUUUUAAAAUCAAGUAAUAGUGCGUCUCAUUUUAAUUCUUUUCAGAAAAUUAAAAUAUUUGAAAAUAUAAAAUAUCGACAUUAUAAUUUUUUCAUAAUAUAAACAUUACAGAUUAAAUUUUUAAUAAAAACUAUAACAUUUUUUUCUAAAUAUAAUAACUUUAUGUUAUUAAAAUUAUUUGCUAUUCUUUGCUAUAUUAUUUAUACCUUAAAUAAAUAGAUAUGUAAAUAAAAUAAUUUUCUAAAUAUUUCUCCUAUUUUAUUAUAUUGGUGAUUUACAAUAUGAAGAUUUUUUUUAUUUUACCUCAAUUAUUUGAAAUGAUUUAAAACAGAAAUGUAACCAGAACCGAAAAAUUCAAAAUUUUUAUAUAUCCUUACCACAUAAAAUAUCAAUAUAUUCAAUCACUUUAACCAAAACUCAACUUCAUAUAUAACCAAAAUUGUUUUUAUAUUUUUUUAAACCAAAAACCACAACCAAACUAAAAUCUAAUAAAGGCAAAUUAGAGUCGAACAAAAACCAAAAAUGUUUAUAGCGAAAUAAAUUAGUUAACAAACAGUUAUAUCAAUAAAUUUGUAAACAAAUAUAUUCCAGCGCUUUGAAAGCACAGAUCAAAAUCUAGGCUAAUCUAUUAAAACAGGAGUACAUUUUGUACUUAGCCCUGAGUUUUCUUCUAUAAUUACAAGGUUAUGUCACUGAGUUAAUAAAAUAAUUCAUUUAUUCGAUCAUUAAUGUCCCUUGCGUAAUUUAAUACCGGAGCAUAACCAGCCCAUUCGAUAGAAUUACGCAUUAGGUAUUUUGACUAUUUUUAAACCAAUAUAACUUGGUUUAAUCUUCCACGGUGGUCAGAAUUUCCUUUCUCUGCAAAAUAAGGUUUGUAUCUAUUAAUAAACCAAGAAGAUUAAACCAAGUGCAUAAAAUAUUAUUCAUGUUAAACUAUUAAUGGAAAAUUACUAUCACUCAUCCGUGCAUAUGUAAUCACACAAAAUCCAAACCAAACCGUAUGUUAUAUACAAACCAUUUCAAGGGAAAUGGUACAUCCAAUUGUAAAAUUAAUUUGUAUGCGUUUUUGUGAAUAAUAAUAGUAUAUACAUUUAAAUAUUAACCAAACCGAGCCAAAUGUUAUAUACAAACCAAACCAAACAUUUUAGUUUUUGAGAAUACGAAGUAUACAUAAUCGCUUAUAGGAUAACAAAAGCGAAUAUUCGAUGGAUUUAAGCAAUGCUAAUGCAAAUUGUAAAGUAUUGAUACGUAUUUAAAUAUCUAAUCUUAACUAACUAAAUAUGACAAACCUUAAAUAUCAGAAUCACUGAAUCAGUAUUAAUUAUUUCAAUAUAUGCAUAUUCUUUUUCUUUUUUUUUUGGAUCAAAUGCAUAUUCUUUUUCUAAAACGUGCAAAUCACACUAAUUUAAAAUAUUUUCUACUGAUUCCUUCCAUAUAUUCACAAUCACACCAACCAUAUAUAUACCAUGAACUCUAUUUAUAUUCAGAAAACAAAGAAGUCAAGUCAAAAGAAGUUUUACUUCUCAAGAAUGUCAAGCCAUUUAAAACCGGAUGCAUUCAAGUAAAAUUACAGCAUUAGUUGAAGAAACAAAACAUCUCCUACGGAAGAAAAUCUCUUGAAAUGGUUCUCGCCGAUGAAUCUGUAAGUUUUUUAUCAUGUAAUUUUUAUGUUUUCACGUUGAUCUAAUACUAUCACAAUACCGAUUUUGUAGCCAAUGGUUGCAUCUUCAUAGAGAAAAAAAUCAGAAUUCAAAUGCACAAUGGUGGAUUCUUUAGAGUAUGAGAAUCAGCAAAGAAACAUUAGUAUCUGGGAGAAUUUUGGCAAUAUUCAGACUAUUUAAUCCAUUACACAUCGUCAUGACAAAAGUAUUCUAAACAUGCAAAACCAAACUACUCUUUCAAGGGAAAUCUAUUUGAGACAUGGAUUAAAACUAAUAGAAUGAGAAAAUAUAGUUUAUAAAAAAAAGAGUGAGAAAAUAUAAGUUGGGUCAAACCUUGUGUUUUGAUUUAUUGUACGUUACAUAAACGGUCUCCAUGGCUGAAGUUCUUAAUUGGAGGUGAACUGUUCCUUAGGUUUUAGAUUUGGUGUUUUUCUCUGAUUCACACACGAAAUCUGCAAUAUUAAGUUUAUAUAUCCUCCAGACAAGAUAAAAGGCUUAUAUACGAUGAAAAGGAAGAUGAAUAAAAAACAAUUUAAAUGAAUCAAAGAAAUACUUUUAGAUUUCCUGUGAUUCUGUUUAUCCAACCUCUAAUGCCAUCUUAUUUAGUCGGGUUCUUUAUCCAACAUGAACAUCCGAUUGUUGAUUUUGAAGAAGCUUCUACAGAAAUCUCCAAGAAAGUAAAGUUACUGAUUUCUUUCGUUGUCCUUUAAUUUUUUUUCUUAAAGUGGUGUAACGAACGGUCAUAUUCCUAAAACAAAAGGCUUUCACCAAAAUGUUUUGAUAUCAUAUGAUCGAGGCCCAAAAUAUUUUAAUUGCUUAUCAAACUUUUGUCAUCUGGCUCGAUUAGAAGUUCUCAUUGACUACUAAUUCUUUAAACAACUCAUUUUAAAUAUAUUAUUCGGCCACUUCUAGGCAACAAAUAUGAUAAAUUUUAGACAAACCCAGUCUAAAAUAAGUACAAAUUUUCUUUUAGUAAAAAGUAUAGAUAAGCGCAGUAAAUUUUAGAAUAAAAUUACAACAUUUUAUUCAAAACAAUAUCUAUCUUCACUGAAAAUCAUUAUUAUUGCCAAUAUUUGCAACUUGAUUGUAUCUUCCCAAACCAAAUAAUAUUUACCACAUUUAUUCAAUUUAAAAUAAAUUAGAUAUAAAAACAAUAUAAAUGUAUUACACAUAAAAUCAUAUUUAUAUCAGUGUCAGUUAUUAACACUCAUUUUAAAUUAAAAAUAAUAAAAUGUAUAUUACUAAAAAAUUCCCAGUAAAAUUCUUUAUUUAAACAUACAAAUUUUUGGAAAUACACAUUAAUCUUAUAAAUAAAUAAAACCUUUGUAAUGUUGUUAACAUAAUUUCACACCAAAAAUAGAAGAGAAAUUCUCUAAGAUAGUCUUUUUUAAGUUUUUAUCACAAAAAUAGUCCUCAAUGAAGAAAAAUGACCAAAAUAAGUUUUAUUAAAGGAUAAAAUAUAUUUUUAACCUAGGGUUAACUAAUCUAAACUUAGGGUUUAGAGUUAAGGGGUGGGGUUUUAGGGAUAUGGUUUCAAAUAAAAAAAUAUAUAUAUUAAAAUUUUCAAAAUAAAAAGAAGCUAUUUUGGUCAUUUUCAUUCUUGAAGGUUAUUUUUGUAGCAAAAACUUAAAAAAAAUUAUUUGAAAGAAUUGCCAAAAAAUAACCAGCACUUUAUUUCAUAACUACAUUUUUAUUAUAUUUUUACAAAUUGGCUAAUACCUAAUUAUUUAUUACUAAUAACUAAACAUUUAAAAUACAUACGAGUUAAAUAAUGAAUCAUUAUCACUAUAAGUAACAUUGUUAUGAUUUUUUUAAACAUGUUAAUCAACAUAUAUUUUUUAUAUAUCUAACAAGAAUUGUUUUUACAUAAACGGUGAGAACCAUAAACUGUAGAAAACAAUAUAUAAAAUUACUGUAGAUUUAUGUAUAAAACUGUGUUGUUAAAAAUACAGAUUAAAUAAAUAUUUUUAUUUGUAAGUUUAAAGUAUAUACAUUAAAAGUGUAAAACAAAUUUUGAGUAAUAUAAAAAUAAAAAACAUCCGGGUGUCUCUGGUCAAAAUCUAGUUUCAUUGGUCGAAACUUUUUAUUUUCAUUUAUUUUUUAAACAUUACCGAGCGAUACAACUAAAAUACAUUGCCAAACAACUAAGAGCAUCAUUAUCCUACCAACUCAUAAUGAGUUGCUUAAUUAUAUUAUAAUAGUAUUUAAUGAGAUAAUUUGGGUAAGAGACUUAGCUAAGCAACUUGACAUUUUUUCUCCUCCAUUGCAAGUCUCUUAUUUUAGGAUGCUUAAUUAUUUUAAACUUUUUCUUAUGAAAAUUAAAAAAAAUUAUUACAUAAAACAUAAUAAAAGAUAACAUUUUGAACAUAGAUUUUUAAAUAAAAACAUGAAACCAAAGAUUAGUAAAAUAAACGAAGUACAUUCGAAAGAAGCAUCAAAGCUUAGUUGUUGUCUUCAUCACCCCCAAAUCUAUAUAAUACAUGUUCAACCAAAUCAUUUUUCAGUUGUUCAUGCAUUGUUCUAUCACGAAUUCUUGUUCGAACACCCAUCAUAUUGGUUUUUUUGGAAAAAAGGGGUUCCUCUGUUAUAUUUGUCGUCUUUACUUUUCUUUUUGUGUGCACAUAUUUGUUGUCUUUACGACCGAAGAAAUACCAAACAUAGUCCUUCCUUAUCGAACUCGACUGGGCUGAGAAAUAAAUUAAUAACAACAAACAAAUAAACAAAAACUAGCCGAUGUUUCAAUACAACAGUGAAGUAGUCGGUAAGACUUACAAGGUAACUCCCAAGGAUCCAAGCUAUAGAUAUCGACUGUGUUAAUGAAUUCAUUGACAUGAGUCGUGUUGCCAUCCAUAUUUUUUGCCCUGAGGUAAUAGCCAAUGAUCUCCUCGUCGGUCGGAUGGAAUCUGAAACCCACCGGAUGCGAAUUUACCAUAUUCUCCAUGAGAAAUCUAAAAUUUUCAGAUCAAAAACGAAAAAGAAGAACUAAGA
RNAcentral lists this long non-coding RNA (6204 nucleotides) under Brassica napus (rape). Its description in RNAcentral is "long non-coding RNA (BNAP_LNC014197)". Lineage: Eukaryota; Viridiplantae; Streptophyta; Magnoliopsida; Brassicales; Brassicaceae. The record is from RNAcentral.